UGGGGAAUAUUGGACAAUGGGGGGAACCCUGAUCCAGCCAUGCCGCGUGUGUGAAGAAGGCCUUAUGGUUGUAAAGCACUUUAAGCGAGGAGGAGGGUACUGGUAUUAAUACUACCAGGUACUGGACGUUACUCGCAGAAUAAGCACCGGCUAACUCUGUGCCAGCAGCCGCGGUAAUACAGAGGGUGCGAGCGUUAAUCGGAUUUACUGGGCGUAAAGCGUGCGUAGGCGGCUAAUUGAGUCGGAUGUGAAAUCCCCGAGCUUAACUUGGGAAUUGCAUUCGAUACUGGUUAGCUAGAGUGUGGGAGAGGAUGGUAGAAUUCCAGGUGUAGCGGUGAAAUGCGUAGAGAUCUGGAGGAAUACCGUUGGCGAAGGCAGCCAUCUGGCCUAACACGGACGCUGAGGUACGAAAGCAUGGGGAGCAAACAGG
This 430-nucleotide ribosomal RNA is filed under the name Pseudomonadota bacterium. Its description in RNAcentral is "Proteobacteria bacterium partial 16S ribosomal RNA". It matches the Rfam family "Bacterial small subunit ribosomal RNA", at positions 355 to 776 of the family's 1533-position model. Lineage: Bacteria; Pseudomonadati; Pseudomonadota. The record is from RNAcentral.